CCCUUAGAUGUUCUGGGCCGCACGCGCGCUACAAUGGUCUUCGCAAACGGAUGCAUUCUCGAAGGAGAAUGCCAAUCUUGGAAUCUAUGCCUUGGUCGGGACAGUUGCUUGCAAUUUUUCGACUCGACCCAGGAAUUCCUUGUAAUCGUGAUUCAUCACAUCACGAUGAAUACGUCCCUGCCCUUUGUACACACCGCCCGUCGCUCCUACCGAUCGAAGAGUUAGGUGAAUUGUUUUGAUCGAUAAGAUUUGACUAUGGUCAACUCUCGUUGUGAAAUUCUGUGAAUCUGACUGUUUAGAGGAAGGAAAAGUCGUAACA
Molecule: ribosomal RNA, 319 nt
Filed under: uncultured eukaryote
Lineage: Eukaryota
Description: partial 18S ribosomal RNA
Rfam family: Eukaryotic small subunit ribosomal RNA
Source: RNAcentral